This 479-nucleotide ribosomal RNA is filed under the name uncultured bacterium. RNAcentral describes it as "partial 16S ribosomal RNA". It matches the Rfam family "Bacterial small subunit ribosomal RNA", at positions 28 to 507 of the family's 1533-position model. The record is from RNAcentral.
GAUGAACGCUAGCGGGAGGCCUAACACAUGCAAGCCGAGCGGUAGAGUUUCUUCGGAAACUUGAGAGCGGCGCACGGGUGCGUAACACGUGUGCAACCUACCUUUAUCUGGGGGAUAGCCUUUCGAAAGGAAGAUUAAUACCCCAUAAUAUAAUGAUUGGCAUCAAUUAUUAUUGAAAACUCCGGUGGAUAGAGAUGGGCACGCGCAAGAUUAGAUAGUUGGUGAGGUAACGGCUCACCAAGUCAAUGAUCUUUAGGGGUCCUGAGAGGGAGAUCCCCCACACUGGUACUGAGACACGGACCAGACUCCGACGGGAGGCAGCAGUGAGGAAUAUUGGACAAUGGGUGAGAGCCUGAUCCAGCCAUCCCGCGUGAAGGAUGACGGUCCUAUGGAUUGUAAACUUCUUUUGUACAGGGAUAAACCUACCCUCGUGAGGGUAGCUGAAGGUACUGUACGAAUAAGCACCGGCUAACUCCGUG